GUUUUCAUGCUAUAAUAUUCAGCGAGGAAGUUUUAAGGGCGGUGGCUGACUCAGUAGAAAUGAGGUGGUUCCAUUGGAACAACUCUGGACGAAAGGGAAGCCCAAUGUCGACGUUUCAAGCGCUGACGUUGAUGAUUGCUUUUGGUAUGCUAGUAGCUACCAUUUGCAACAACAA
RNAcentral lists this small RNA (175 nucleotides) under Limosilactobacillus ingluviei. Its description in RNAcentral is "Lactobacillus ingluviei Listeria sRNA rli28". It matches the Rfam family "Listeria sRNA rli28". Lineage: Bacteria; Bacillati; Bacillota; Bacilli; Lactobacillales; Lactobacillaceae. The record is from Rfam by way of RNAcentral.